GUCGAACGAGAAAGUGGAGCAUCCAUGAGUAAAGUGGCGUACGGGUGAGUAACACGUGGAUGAUCUGCCCUUUAGUGGGGAAUACCGUUGGGAAACCGACGACAAUACCGCAUAAGCUCGAGAGAGGAAAGCAGCAAUGCGCUGGAGGAGGAGUCCGCGGUCGAUUAGCUAGUUGGUGAGGUAAUGGCUCACCAAGGCUGUGAUCGAUAGCCGGCCUGAGAGGGCACACGGCCACACUGGCACUGAAACACGGGCCAGACUCCUACGGGAGGCAGCAGUGGGGAAUCUUGCACAAUGGGGGAAACCCUGAUGCAGCGACGCCGCGUGAGCGAUGAAGCCCUUCGGGGUGUAAAGCUCUUUCGGCAGGGAAGAUUAUGACGGUACCUGCAGAAGCAGCUGCGGCUAACUACGUGCCAGCAGCCGCGGUAAUACGUAGGCAGCAAGCGUUGUUCGGAGUUACUGGGCGUAAAGGGUGCGUAGGCGGCUCUAUAAGUAUGGUGUGAAAUCUCCCGGCUUAACUGGGAGGGUGCGCUAUAGACUGUGGGGCUAGAGUGUGGGAGAGGAAAGUGGAAUUCCUGGUGUAGCGGUGAAAUGCGUAGAUAUCAGGAGGAACACCGGUGGUGUAAACGGCUUUCUGGACCAUAACUGACGCUGAGGCACGAAAGCGUGGGUAGCAAACAGGAUUAGAUACCCUGGUAGUCCACGCCCUAAACGAUGCAUAUUUUGGUGUGGGUCAUUCAGUUGAUCCGUGCCGGAGCUAACGCGUUAAAUAUGCCGCCUGGGGAGUACAGUCGCAAGGCUGAAACUC
Molecule: ribosomal RNA, 808 nt
Filed under: uncultured bacterium
Lineage: Bacteria
Description: bacterial SSU rRNA
Rfam family: Bacterial small subunit ribosomal RNA
Source: RNAcentral